AGCUGAGCGAGAAAGAAGAGGGAUCCCUUCACUAGAACAGGGGCAAGUUUGUAAAGCACACGAUUCGCAAUUGCUAGUCUACAGUAACUGCAAAACACAUGACGCUGGCCAACUUUCUUAUACUCGCAUCGUAAUUAGACGGCCCCUGCUGCUGCGACGGCAGCAGAGAAGUCUGGUCAACGGUGGCAGCGGCGGAAAAGUCUGGUUGGCGGCGAAGAUUGGAUGAAAACGCCGG
This 235-nucleotide long non-coding RNA is filed under the name Erythranthe guttata (spotted monkey flower). RNAcentral's name for it is "long non-coding RNA (EGUT_LNC001545)". The record is from RNAcentral. Lineage: Eukaryota; Viridiplantae; Streptophyta; Magnoliopsida; Lamiales; Phrymaceae.